This 619-nucleotide small RNA is filed under the name Pan troglodytes (chimpanzee). RNAcentral describes it as "processed transcript". Lineage: Eukaryota; Metazoa; Chordata; Mammalia; Primates; Hominidae. The record is from RNAcentral.
AAGUUUGAAACUGGUAACUUCGGGAGUUGAGCCACGAGCUGUUGUGCAUCCAGAGGUGGAAUUGGGGCCCGGUGGAGAGCUCUCCACAGCCAGGCCUACCAGCAGGGGAGCAACUGGAGGGUCUUAAACAUGCCCAGGACUCAGAUCCCCGCUCUCCUACUCUUGGUAUUGCACGGACACCUAUGAAGACCAGCAGUGGAGACCCCCCAAGCCCACUGGUGAAACAGCUGAGUGAAGUAUUUGAAACUGAAGACUCUAAAUCAAAUCUUCCCCCAGAGCCUGUUCUGCCCCCAGAGGCACCUUUAUCUUCUGAAUUGGACUUGCCUCUGGGUACCCAGUUAUCUGCUGAGGAACAGAUGCCACCUUGGAACCAGACUGAGUUCCCCUCCAAACAGGUGUUUUCCAAGGAGGAAGCAAGACAGCCCACAGAAACCCCUGUGGCCAGCCAGAGCUCCGACAAGCCCUCAAGGGACCCUGAGACUCCCAGAUCUUCAGGGUAAGCGGCCUUCACCCCUAAGUGAAAAUGUUAGUGAACUAAAGGAAGGAGCCAUUCUUGGAACUGGACGACUUCUGAAAACUGGAGGACGAGCAUGGGAGCAAGGCCAGGACCAUGACAAGG